RNAcentral lists this ribosomal RNA (423 nucleotides) under uncultured bacterium. Its description in RNAcentral is "bacterial SSU rRNA". It matches the Rfam family "Bacterial small subunit ribosomal RNA", at positions 358 to 773 of the family's 1533-position model. The record is from RNAcentral.
GGAAUCUUGCGCAAUGCGCGAAAGCGUGACGCAGCAACGCCGCGUGGGGGAAGAAGGCCUUCGGGUUGUAAACCCCUUUCAGGAGGGACGAAGCGCGGGCGGUUAAUAGCCGACCCGUGUGACGGUACCUGAGGAAUAAGUCCCGGCUAACUACGUGCCAGCAGCCGCGGUAAAACGUAGGGGACAAGCGUUAUCCGGAUUUACUGGGCGUAAAGCGCCCGUAGGCGGCUUUUUAAGUUGGACGUGAAAGCUCCCGGCUUAACUGGGAGAGGCCGUUCAAAACUGAGAAGCUCGAGUGAGGAAGAGGAGAGCAGAAUUCCCGGUGUAGUGGUGGAAUGCGUAGAGAUCGGGAGGAAUACCAGUGGCGAAAGCGGCUCUCUGGUCCUAAACUGACGCUGAGGGGCGAAAGCGUGGGGAGCGAAC